This 505-nucleotide ribosomal RNA is filed under the name uncultured bacterium. RNAcentral's name for it is "partial 16S ribosomal RNA". It matches the Rfam family "Bacterial small subunit ribosomal RNA", at positions 28 to 507 of the family's 1533-position model. The record is from RNAcentral.
GACGAACGCUGGCGGCGUGCCUAAUACAUGCAAGUAGAACGCACAGUUUAUACCGUAGCUUGCUACACCAUAGACUGUGAGUUGCGAAUGGGUGAGUAACGCGUAGGUAACCUGCCGGGGAGCGGGGGAUAACUAUUUGAAACGAUAGCUAAUACCGCAUAAUUUUAAUUAUAUCAGGAUAAUUAGUUCAAAGGUGCAACUGCAACACUAACAUGUGGACCUGCGUUGUAUUAGCUAGUAGGUGAGGUAACGGCUCACCUAGGCGACGAUACAUAGCCGACCUGAGAGGGUGAUCGGCCACACUGGGACUGAGACACGGCCCAGACUCCUACGGGAGGCAGCAGUAGGGAAUCUUCGGCAAUGGACGGAAGUCUGACCGAGCAACGCCGCGUGAGUGAAGAAGGUUUUCGGAUCGUAAAGCUCUGUUGUAAGAGAAGAACGGGUGUGAGAGUGGAAAGUUCACACUGUGACGGUAUCUUACCAGAAAGGGACGGCUAACUACGUG